AUGCUGAGGCAUCAUAGAGGCCUGCAUGAGAACAAGGAGACCAACCAAGGUGGACCAAACCUUGGACGUUUGGAGAAGCUAAGAACAUAAGAAGUGUAUCCUCACUUGUAUGAACUUGCUGUGACUUUGUUCCCCAGCUUCAUCUGCUCCCUGUGAAAGUCUCUAAAGGUGAAACACUCUCAGGAAAAGAAACCGCCUGAAGCCCUGUGGACAAGUUGCUAGUUUUAAAUGGAAAUGAAUGAAAUGUUCUGCGUGUUACAUGUUGUCACUAGUAACAUAAGCACAGUCACAAACAAGUAGAUUAAGUAGAGUCACAAACCUUUAUCUUUAUCAAUAUUACAUUUCCUUUUAUCCUGUUUGAAGCUCUAAGAGAGGACGGUACGACACAGCUGGCAGAGCCAUUGCUGUAAGCUUGGUACAUGGCGCUCCGCCAACAAACCUCCUCUCACCAACAGGAUUUUCUCUUCUGGUUGAUGCUUCAGCAAAACCAGAGCUACAAGACAAAGAGUCACAAGGUUGGUGUGAAGGUGUGGACUCUGCUAUGAAUCAGGCUGAGGACCCAGAGGACGGAGUCCCUCCCUCUGAAGCCCCUCUGUGUGGGGAACAUGACAGCCAGACCAAAGCUCAGAGGUGAGAGGACCAUCUCCAACUGUCUUCCACUCGUCUCCAUGUCCCAACGUCUCUGACUCACUGACUCUGCUUCUACAUGUGUGACCAGGG
This is a long non-coding RNA of Gasterosteus aculeatus aculeatus (three-spined stickleback), 720 nucleotides long. The record is from Ensembl. Lineage: Eukaryota; Metazoa; Chordata; Actinopteri; Perciformes; Gasterosteidae.